AGAUAUAUUCUGUUUCUUGUCCCCCAUUGAGUCAAGAAUAAUUUAACUUUUGGCAUAAGAAACUACUAAAGAAAACAGGUUGAAUAAGCUAAUAUUUUUCUUCUUUUUGCAGGAUAUAGAAGACUUAGAUCACUAUGAGAUGAAAGAAGAGCGUAUUAGUGGGAAAAAGUUGGAGGAUGAAGGAAUUGAAAAAGAAAAUUGGGUGAUAUUAGAGAAAAUUAGGAAGACUGAAAGGUUGACCCUGAUAGUCCCUUGCACAGUGAUCUUCAGAUCUUAA
Piliocolobus tephrosceles (Ugandan red Colobus) is the source of this 277-nucleotide long non-coding RNA. NCBI's taxonomy places the organism in Eukaryota, Metazoa, Chordata, Mammalia, Primates, Cercopithecidae. The record is from Ensembl.